AAAUAAUUAGUCCUUAAACCCUUUGUUCAUUCAUUUCUGGACUAAAAUAAAAACACAUUUUCGCGGUAUUGCAUAUUCAUAAUUUUUAGAUAA
Melitaea cinxia (Glanville fritillary) is the source of this 93-nucleotide long non-coding RNA. RefSeq lists it as uncharacterized. The transcript has 3 exons. The record is from RefSeq and is a predicted model, not a curated record. Lineage: Eukaryota; Metazoa; Arthropoda; Insecta; Lepidoptera; Nymphalidae.